UAAUUGAAGAGUUUGAUCAUGGCUCAGAUUGAACGCUGGCGGCAGGCCUAACACAUGCAAGUCGAGCGGUAACAGGGGAAGCUUGCUUCUCGCUGACGAGCGGCGGACGGGUGAGUAAUGUAUGGGGAUCUGCCCGAUAGAGGGGGAUAACUACUGGAAACGGUGGCUAAUACCGCAUAAUCUCUUAGGAGCAAAGCAGGG
Molecule: ribosomal RNA, 201 nt
Filed under: Providencia stuartii
Lineage: Bacteria; Pseudomonadati; Pseudomonadota; Gammaproteobacteria; Enterobacterales; Morganellaceae
Description: partial 16S ribosomal RNA
Rfam family: Bacterial small subunit ribosomal RNA
Source: RNAcentral